RNAcentral lists this long non-coding RNA (1224 nucleotides) under Mus caroli (Ryukyu mouse). RNAcentral's name for it is "lncRNA (MGP_CAROLIEiJ_G0004069.1)". Lineage: Eukaryota; Metazoa; Chordata; Mammalia; Rodentia; Muridae. The record is from RNAcentral.
CAGUUGAGACUAUGGACAGGGAGCGAUCCAGAAACAUUUCUUAAAUCUCUGCCUUUGCCUCUUUCAAGCUGUAUGCCCUAGGUGGUAUGGCAGAGUUCCAGGCCCAGCGGCUGCUCCCUGCACCUGCCCCCUCCACAUCCAAUUUCUUUGCAAUGGCCUAAAAAGCUAACCAAGCUGAAAUAGCUCAUUCCAAGGCUCUCAAACUCCGGCACCAUUAUUCAGUGUUUGCAGAGGCCUAGCCUCAUCCCUGCCACUCACCACUUCCCAUCUGCGGUAUCUUCGAUGCUCACCGUCCUGCUGGGCUUGAGGACAAGAAAGACCACCUUACGGGAGGGAGGAAGGAAUUAUGUUAGCUCAUGAUUCCAGAAGUUUCCGUUUGUGAUCAGCUGGUUCCACUCUUCCUGAGCCUGUGUUGAGGCAGAAGCAUCAUGCUGUGCGAGUACAGACAGGGCCCUGUGUAAGCCCUACUGGUCCCAGACUCAUUACGCAGUGAUGGCUUUGAUUUUCUGAUCCUAGUGGCUCCACCCCCUGAGUGCUGGGAUUACAGGCACAUGUCACCACAAGUUUUUCAAGGCCUGGGAUCAAACCAGGAGUUUGUGAUGUCAGAGGUGUGUAGUCCAAGAGUGAAAAAUGCAAUGGUUUGGGGCAGAUGAUGCUUGAGAUAGGCGUCUACAUUGGAUCAGAACCUGCCUAGCUUCAUAUGGGAUUAAAAAUGAUGGUGCCCUUUGGCUCUCUUUCUAACCUUCCUUAACAUCUACCGAGACCAAGUAUGACAGCCAAUCUUGGUUUUCAACAGAAUUAAACCUGAAAUCAAACGAAACCCAAGCAACCGGACAAGUCUGUGAAGGAUUGCACUGAGUGGGUCAUUUGAGGCUGGAAGAUUCACCCUAAAUCCGAGCCACACCUUCUGAUGGCAGCGCAUAGAAAAAGACAAUGGGGAAGGAAGCAUCUGUCUUUGCCUACUUGUUUUCACUAUGGCUGGCAAGUUCAUCUGCUCUGUUUCAGUCAUCCCUUUGCUGGUGUUUGAGACCACUGCUUUGGGAUUCUAACAUAGACUGAAGACUGGUUGCUCUCUAGGAAACUCCUGGGACUCCAGGAACAGAUCUGGAUUGCUGAGAUAUCCAGUCUCAUGAACUGAACACCCAGACCCAAACCUUGGCAUUCCUGGAGGACUUGGGCUGCAACCUGUAAGCCACUCUAAUAAAGAAUAUUUAUAUAAACUGU